Molecule: ribosomal RNA, 262 nt
Filed under: uncultured bacterium
Lineage: Bacteria
Description: partial 16S ribosomal RNA
Rfam family: Bacterial small subunit ribosomal RNA
Source: RNAcentral
CCGCCUACGGGAGGCAGCAGUAGGGAAUCUUCCACAAUGGACGAAAGUCUGAUGGAGCAACGCCGCGUGAGUGAAGAAGGGUUUCGGCUCGUAAAGCUCUGUUGGUAGUGAAGAAAGAUAGAGGUAGUAACUGGCCUUUAUUUGACGGUAAUUACUUAGAAAGUCACGGCUAACUACGUGCCAGCAGCCGCGGUAAUACGUAGGUGGCAAGCGUUAUCCGGAUUUACUGGGUGUAAAGGGAGCGCAGGCGGUGGGGCCAGUC